Molecule: long non-coding RNA, 879 nt
Organism: Oncorhynchus tshawytscha (Chinook salmon)
Lineage: Eukaryota; Metazoa; Chordata; Actinopteri; Salmoniformes; Salmonidae
Source: Ensembl
GGGGAGAGUUACUGCACAGCCAUUUUCAGGUCUGACCAGAGAUGUUUGAUCCGGUUCAAGUCCGGGCUCUGGCUGGGCCACUCAAAGACAUGUCCUGAAGCCACUACUGCGUUGUCUUUGCUGUGUGCUUAGGGUCGUUGUCCUGUUGGAAGGUGAACCUUCGCCCCAGUCUGAGGUCCUGAGCACUCUGGAGCAGGUUUUCAUCAGGAUCUCUCUGUACUUUUCUUCAUUCAGCUUUGCCUCGAUCCUGACUGUGUCCCAGUCCCUACCAUUGAAAAACACCCCCACAGCAUGAUGCUGCCACCACCAUGCUUCACCAUAAGGAUGGUGCAAGGUUUCCUCCAGACAUGACACUUGGCAUUAAGGCCAAAGAUUUCAAUCUUGGUUUCAUCCACCAGAGACUCUGGUUUCUCAUGGUCUGGGAGUCUUUAGGUACCUAAUGGUCUGGGAGUCUUUAGGUACCUAAUGGUCUGGGAGUCUUUAGGUACCUAAUGGUCUGGGAGUCUUUAGGUACCUAAUGGUCUGAGAGUCUUUAGGUACCUAAUGGUCUGGGAGUCUUUAGGUACCUAAUGGUCUGAGAGUCUUUAGGUACCUAAUGGUCUGGGAGUCUUUAUGUACCUAAUGGUCUGAGAGUCUUUAGGUACCUAAUGGUCUGAGAGUCUUUAGGUACCUCAUGGUCUGAGAGUCUUUAGGUACCUCAUGGUCUGAGAGUCUUUAGGUACCUCAUGGUCUGGGAGUCUUUAGGUACCUUUUGGAAAACUCCAAGCGGGCUGUCAUGUGCUUUUUACUGAGGAGUGGCUUCCGUCUGGCCACUCUACCAUAAACUGGUGGAGUGUUGCAGAGAUGGGUUCUUGGUAACCUCCCUGACCAAGGCCCUUC